UACGAAGGGGGCUAGUGUUACUCGGAUUGACUGGGCGUAAAGGGCGCGUAGGCGGUUCGUACAGUCAGACGUGAAAUUCCUGGGCUCAACCUGGGGGCUGCGUUUGAUACGUGCGGGCUUGAGUUCGGAAGAGGGUCGUGGAAUUCCCAGUGUAGAGGUGAAAUUCGUAGAUAUUGGGAAGAACACCGGUGGCGCAGGCGGCGACCUGGUCCGAUACUGACGCUGAGACGCGAAAGCGUGGGGAGCAAACAGG
RNAcentral lists this ribosomal RNA (253 nucleotides) under uncultured bacterium. RNAcentral describes it as "partial 16S ribosomal RNA". It matches the Rfam family "Bacterial small subunit ribosomal RNA", at positions 524 to 776 of the family's 1533-position model. The record is from RNAcentral.